Molecule: ribosomal RNA, 274 nt
Filed under: uncultured bacterium
Lineage: Bacteria
Description: partial 16S ribosomal RNA
Rfam family: Bacterial small subunit ribosomal RNA
Source: RNAcentral
AUACGGAGGGUGCAAGCGUUAAUCGGAAUUACUGGGCGUAAAGCGUACGUAGGCGGUUAUUUAAGUCAGAUGUGAAAGCCCCGGGCUUAACUUGGGAACUGCAUUUGAAACUGGGUAACUAGAGUUUAGUAGAGGGGAGUGGAAUUUCAGGUGUAGCGGUGAAAUGCGUAGAGAUCUGAAGGAACACCAGUGGCGAAGGCGACUCCCUGGACUAGAACUGACGCUGAGGUACGAAAGCGUGGGUAGCAAACAGGAUUAGAUACCCCAGUAGUCC